RNAcentral lists this long non-coding RNA (240 nucleotides) under Elaeis guineensis (African oil palm). RNAcentral's name for it is "long non-coding RNA (EGUI_LNC054244)". Lineage: Eukaryota; Viridiplantae; Streptophyta; Magnoliopsida; Arecales; Arecaceae. The record is from RNAcentral.
UCCUGAGUCUAAUUAAAUAUACUAAUUAAAACCUAUAAUCUAUCUUCCAAUAGUAAAAUAGAUUUCAAUUAGUUCAAUAAGCACAGUGAUUAUUUUCAAGAUCCCACAGGUCAAAUCUUCUGCUCCCGCUUCAAUUAUUAUUCCUAUGAUGUUUGUUAUUAACUUCAAUUUAUAAUCUUCCUUCCCAGUACCAAUUAUAAAUCGAAAUCAAUCAAGUACCAAAGAUAAUAAUACUUAAAA